Molecule: long non-coding RNA, 2854 nt
Filed under: Homo sapiens (human)
Lineage: Eukaryota; Metazoa; Chordata; Mammalia; Primates; Hominidae
Description: long independently transcribed non-coding RNA 1145, transcript variant 4 (LINC01145)
Source: RNAcentral
GGUUGGUCCCGGCGGGGGAAGGAGAAAGUGAGACUCGGUGUCAUCACCAAUCCGUCGCCAGAAGGGGAGGAAACUGGAAUCCAGCAGCGGCGAGCAGCAGCUGGGCGGUCACAUCUGGAAAUGGAAAGCCGACCUCCCCCUCCUCCUCCACCUCUUCCUCCUCCUCCUCCUCCUCCUCUCACCCAGGAUCACUUCCGAAACCACUUGGCCUUCAGCCCCUGCCUCGGCCAGAGGUUUCAUUUUUAACUGAAUAUUUACGAAAGCUGAAAGCGUGCGAGGGGGGUGGGGUGGAAAUAGCGGCUGCUUCUUUUCCAAGGAUUUAUUUAAUGGGGAUGUGUUCAAGGCAAGACCGAAUUCAGAAGGAUAUCGACGUCGUGAUCCAGAAGUCCAGAGCUGAGGACUGCCUGUUUGCAGAUUUCAGGUACUCAGACUCCACCUUUACUUUUACCUAUGUUGGCGGCCCCAGAAGGACAACUGUGCAGACUACAAAGCUUCGGAAAACCGGAGAGGCUGAGUCGACUAAUCGUGUUGUUGCACGUUAGAAACGCUUGCAUUGCCUGACUCUGAAACCAGAAGGGCGGCCGAAUGGCCUUCACCCUCCAUUAACCCUCGCCUCCUUCAGAAGCCAGUGCCUCUGGAAAUGCCUGGAUCUGCGACCCCAGCCUGAGCCUAGUAGGGCCCAAGGGAAGCUGAACGCCCCGACGGCUCUCAUGGGCACCGGCAACAGUUUUCCGUUUGUGCCUACUCCACCUGCUGUCUUUGUUGGGUCAGCGAACAUCGCCUCCCUCUACCGCUCAAUCAGCAAAAGGGACCGCCCUUGAGGACCUCACCCGCGGCUCACUCCCCUCCCAACUUCGCGGGCAUCGCCUCCGGUCGCCUCUUCCGAAGGCCUAACGAGCAUGUUAGCUGCGAACGGAGGUGAGGAGGCUCCGCUGACUGACCGGUGCCCAUGUCCAGGGCACGCACAAACGCCAUGACUUGGCUUGGCCUCUCUCUUAGUUAUUCACAAGCUCAGCCCGAUAGGCACCUCUGGGGCGGCGACGGCAAAGAGGGUGCGCUUAUUAAGUGCAGCUCCACGGGGACUGGCCUCUGCACGGCUGUGUACACCUGAGCGAGACGCUCAGUCGCUCUCUAAAGCCGCUUCUGCGGAUGACAGACACGGAGAUAAACGUGAGAGGUGGCCCACCACGACUUGCCCUCCUUUGCCCGGGUUUGCCCCUCGCUGCGGAGGCUGUUCUACAUCUGGCCCUUGGAGCAGGCCGGCUGACAGCGUGGUAAAGGAAGAUUUCUGCGGGAGGGCGGCCAGUGCAAAACAAUUCCCUGACCGGGAAUCGAACCCGGGCCGUGGCGCUUUCAGCACCGAAUCCUAGCCACUAGACAACCAUGCAGAUGCGGAAAGCUGCUUUCUCUCCCUUCUUCGACCUGAAGCGACACUUUCCUGUGCUCUAGGAGGACUUGGGUCUUGUGAGAGUCUCCCUUUGCUCCUGGAGUCGUCUCACAAGGCCGUUCACUCCCUGCUUUCUUCAAAAAAAGAACCUGCAGGCGACACACCAAGGGCUCCACGAGGGAGUCCUGAGUACUGGAGCGAGUUGCGGCCACGCGGCCGCAGCUCACCACUGGCCUAGAGAUGCCCUUUGCCAGGCGGCAGCAACUGACAAGAUGGUCGCGGGUCGCCGGGUCCGGAGCCGCCCACCAGGUUGCCAGGAGGAGGCGGGAGCGGGGAGGCGCCCGAGGUGAGACGGGGGCACCCUCUGCAUCAUAAAGGACCCAGACCCCGGCACCCUCAACAUCAUAAGGAAUCAGACGGAUGCGGAAACCGAGGCGGGCUGGAUAGGAAACUCUUUCCAGGAAGGCUCCGGGGCACUCAACUGGUCUCCAACCUUCCCCUGCAACCUGUGACGCCUGCCAUUUUCCCAUUUUAGGCGAUGGCAACGCAACCCCUCCGUUUGCUCUGGGCAAAACUUCGAGAGUUCCCUCUGAAGCUGGAGCUUUUUCCUCAGAUCCAAGAUCCAAUUGGUCACCAAUUCGUGAUUUCCGUCGGCCAAGUGCGUGGGCAUUGAUCUACACGCGAGUUUCUCCACCUCUGCCGAAUGGCUACUUCGGGGUGGGGGAGGGGCCCUCCCGCCGUGGAUUGCAAGGUGUUUAGCAGCAUCUGUCUCCUCCGCUGACUAGACACAUGCCAGGGGGAUAACAUUCUCCCUCCCGCUUCCCCCAGCCGCGGCCUAGUGUCCCAGCGGGGUUGGGAGAGGCAUGUGAGGGCGAAGUUGCCCCCUGUUGAGAACCAUUGCUGCGCGUAGUCCUUCUCUCUGAACUUGUGCAGAGGACUCUCCAGGUGAAGGCUCAAGGGUGGAUCCAGCUCGAGACACCCUCGCUCCCCCUCACAGUCGGACCUUAGGAUUUAGGCUUUAACAUCUCCACAUCAUGAGAUUCGAAACCUUUAGGUCUUGUCUUCCGUUCUGUCCUCCAAAUCGGCCUCUUCCGAGCCUGUUGACCAGGGCCAGCCGGGCAGAGGGCUGGGCUCGCUCAACGAGGCUCCUCUCGCACCUCCUGGAGCUUCAGGCUUCUUUCCGUUGCAGAGAAGCUUUAUGGGCCAAUUCGUUCGGCAUCCCCGGGGGCAGGUGCGCGGUGCGCGGGGAAGAAGAGGAUUUGACUGCGGUUCUCCACCCCCGGCGCCCAACCUCCACCCCGGUGCGCGCGCUCUUCCAGGCUCCUGCUGGUCCCACUUGCCAGGAGUUAGGUCUCAGGUCAGCCUGAGCUCCUGAGACGCCCAGGCCCGGAAAGACACGUAGGGGAAACCAUCUGCUCACUUCUGUCCUGUCCGGAAGGGAUCCCUUUCUGACGGGAAAGAAAGGCG